GGAUUAGCUCAGUUGGUAGAGCGGCUGAUUUGUAAUCAGUAGGUCGUUGGUUCAAGUCCGACAUCCG
This 67-nucleotide transfer RNA is filed under the name Candidatus Enterousia excrementavium. It matches the Rfam family "tRNA". Rfam says of the family: Transfer RNA (tRNA) molecules are approximately 80 nucleotides in length. Their secondary structure includes four short double-helical elements and three loops (D, anti-codon, and T loops). Further hydrogen bonds mediate the characteristic L-shaped molecular structure. tRNAs have two regions of fundamental functional importance: the anti-codon, which is responsible for specific mRNA codon recognition, and the 3' end, to which the tRNAs corresponding amino acid is attached (by aminoacyl-tRNA synthetases). tRNAs cope with the degeneracy of the genetic code in two manners: having more than one tRNA (with a specific anti-codon) for a particular amino acid; and 'wobble' base-pairing, i.e. permitting non-standard base-pairing at the 3rd anti-codon position. Lineage: Bacteria; Pseudomonadati; Pseudomonadota; Alphaproteobacteria. The record is from RNAcentral.